RNAcentral lists this ribosomal RNA (614 nucleotides) under Porina subepiphylla. RNAcentral describes it as "SSU rRNA". It matches the Rfam family "Bacterial small subunit ribosomal RNA", at positions 508 to 1178 of the family's 1533-position model. The record is from RNAcentral. Lineage: Eukaryota; Fungi; Ascomycota; Lecanoromycetes; Ostropales; Porinaceae.
CCAGCAGUCGCGGUAAGACGUGUAAGACAAGUGUUAUUCAUAUUUACUAGGUAUAUUGGGUACUCAGACAGUUAAUUAAGCCGAUGAGGUACUAAUUAUACUAGAGUUUUAUGGGAAAAGGUUAGAACGGUGAGUGUAGUGAUAAAAUACGUUGAUACCACUUAGAGACUGACAACGGCGAAGGCGACCUUUUAUGUAAAAACUGACGUUAAAGUACGAAGGCUCAAGCAAAGGAUAAGGAUUAGAUACCCUAGUACUGUGGGCAGUAAAUGAUGAGUGUCAUAGGUAAGUAUAAAUAUAACUUAUAAAAAAGUUGUAUGACUAUUUGCGUAUAAAUGAAAGUGUAAGCACUCCACCUUAAGAGUAACAUGGCAACAUGGGAACUGAAAUCAUUAGACCGUUUCUGAAACCAGUAGUGAAGUAUGUUGUUUAAUUUGAUAAUCCACAAAGAACCUUACCACAAUUUGUAUGUUUUUUUCAAAAAAAAAUCACAGGAGUUGCACGGCUGUCUUCAGUUGAUAUCGUGAGAUCUUGGUUUACUCCAUUGAAUCAACGAAAACCCUUACUUUAUUUUAUUCAUAAAGCAGCUCUCCCCAAAGGAUAUGAUAAUAGGG